RNAcentral lists this ribosomal RNA (504 nucleotides) under uncultured bacterium. RNAcentral describes it as "partial 16S ribosomal RNA". It matches the Rfam family "Bacterial small subunit ribosomal RNA", at positions 30 to 523 of the family's 1533-position model. The record is from RNAcentral.
AUUGAACGCUGGCGGCAGGCCUAACACAUGCAAGUCGAACGGUAGCACAGAGAGCUUGCUCUCGGGUGACGAGUGGCGGACGGGUGAGUAAUGUCUGGGAAACUGCCUGAUGGAGGGGGAUAACUACUGGAAACGGUAGCUAAUACCGCAUAACGUCGCAAGACCAAAGAGGGGGCUCUUCGGGCCUCUUGCAAUCAGAUGUGCCCAGAUGGGAUUAGCUAGUAGGUGGGGUAACGGCUCACCUAGGCGACGAUCCCUAGCUGGUCUGAGAGGAUGACCAGCCACACUGGAACUGAGACACGGUCCAGACUCCUACGGGAGGCAGCAGUGGGGAAUAUUGCACAAUGGGCGCAAGCCUGAUGCAGCCAUGCCGCGUGUAUGAAGAAGGCCUUCGGGUUGUAAAGUACUUUCAGCGGGGAGGAAGGUGUUGUGGUUAACAACCGCAGCAAUUGACGUUACCCGCAGAAGAAGCACCGGCUAACCCCGUGCCAGCCGCCGCGGUAA